AAUGCAGGUUGUUCUAUCGCUGUUCCGAUUGAUCGGAAGAGAGGAAAGUCCGGGCAACGCAGGGCAUCCCGCUUUCUAACGGAAAGGGAUUGAGGAAUGAAAACCUGAAUCACGGAUUAGUGCAACAGAAAAUAUACCUCCUGAUGUAAAGUUGGGGAAGGGUGAAAACGUGCGGUAAGAGCGCACGAGCAUUGCAGGCGACUGCAGUGGUUUGUAAACCCCGGGAGUUGAAAGACCAAAUAGGCUAACGCAUGUAGGGCUGCCCGUCCGAUGUUAGUGGGUAGGUCGUUAGAGAUAAACGGCAACGUUUAUACUGGAUUAAUGAUAGAAGUUCUGAGUAAUCAGAAAACAGAACCCGGCUUACAGACCUGCAUUUUUA
RNAcentral lists this RNase P RNA (379 nucleotides) under Pedobacter psychrotolerans. Its description in RNAcentral is "RNase P RNA component class A". It matches the Rfam family "Bacterial RNase P class A". Rfam says of the family: Ribonuclease P (RNase P) is a ubiquitous endoribonuclease, found in archaea, bacteria and eukarya as well as chloroplasts and mitochondria. Its best characterised activity is the generation of mature 5'-ends of tRNAs by cleaving the 5'-leader elements of precursor-tRNAs. Lineage: Bacteria; Pseudomonadati; Bacteroidota; Sphingobacteriia; Sphingobacteriales; Sphingobacteriaceae. RNAcentral also lists the same sequence under 3 other names. The record is from RNAcentral.